UAUUAAGCUCUCGGGCGAGGUUCACUGGU
This 29-nucleotide non-coding RNA is filed under the name Homo sapiens (human). Lineage: Eukaryota; Metazoa; Chordata; Mammalia; Primates; Hominidae. The record is from RNAcentral.